Molecule: ribosomal RNA, 484 nt
Filed under: uncultured bacterium
Lineage: Bacteria
Description: partial 16S ribosomal RNA
Rfam family: Bacterial small subunit ribosomal RNA
Source: RNAcentral
AUUGAACGCUGGCGGCAGGCCUAACACAUGCAAGUCGAGCGGAUGAAGGGAGCUUGCUCCUGGAUUCAGCGGCGGACGGGUGAGUAAUGCCUAGGAAUCUGCCUGGUAGUGGGGGAUAACGUCCGGAAACGGGCGCUAAUACCGCAUACGUCCUGAGGGAGAAAGUGGGGGAUCUUCGGACCUCACGCUAUCAGAUGAGCCUAGGUCGGAUUAGCUAGUUGGUGGGGUAAAGGCCUACCAAGGCGACGAUCCGUAACUGGUCUGAGAGGAUGAUCAGUCACACUGGAACUGAGACACGGUCCAGACGCCUACGGAAGGCAGCAGUGGGGAAUAUUGGACAAUGGGCGAAAGCCUGAUCCAGCCAUGCCGCGUGUGUGAAGAAGGUCUUCGGAUUGUAAAGCACUUUAAGUUGGGAGGAAGGGCAGUAAGUUAAUACCUUGCUGUUUUGACGUUACCAACAGAAUAAGCACCGGCUAACUUCGUG